AAUUAAUUCACUUCGGUUAUUGUAUUAAACUGCAACGAAGCAUUGUAAUUUAUCAUUGAUUGAAUCCCUCAUACCUUCGUUAUAGGCUUGGUGUACUAGAACACAGAUUCUGUUUACCAAUGCUUAUCAUAGAGAUUAAACUAUGUCAAAUUCUACUCAACUCGACACAGGAUCCAAAAACUAAAAUGAAUAGAGUCCAACCAUACUGCAUAUCA
This 215-nucleotide unclassified non-coding RNA is filed under the name Hevea brasiliensis (rubber tree). Lineage: Eukaryota; Viridiplantae; Streptophyta; Magnoliopsida; Malpighiales; Euphorbiaceae. The record is from RNAcentral.